This 440-nucleotide ribosomal RNA is filed under the name uncultured bacterium. RNAcentral's name for it is "partial 16S ribosomal RNA". It matches the Rfam family "Bacterial small subunit ribosomal RNA", at positions 338 to 795 of the family's 1533-position model. The record is from RNAcentral.
CCUACGGGUGGCAGCAGUGGGGAAUAUUGCACAAUGGGGGAAACCCUGAUGCAGCGACGCCGCGUGAAGGAAGAAGUUUUUCGGUAUGUAAACUUCUAUCAGCAGGGAAGAAAAUGACGGUACCGGACUAAGAAGCUCCGGCUAACUACGUGCCAGCAGCCGCGGUAAUACGUAGGGGGCAAGCGUUAUCCGGAUUUACUGGGUGUAAAGGGAGCGUAGGCGGCGAUGCAAGUCAGAAGUGAAAGCCCCGGGCUCAACCCCGGGACUGCUUUUGAAACUGUAUGGCUAGAGUGCAGGAGAGGCAAGUGGAAUUCCUGGUGUAGCGGUGAAAUGCGUAGAUAUCAGGAGGAACACCAGUGGCGAAGGCGGCUUGCUGGACUGUAACUGACGCUGAGGCUCGAAAGCGUGGGGAGCAAACAGGAUUAGAUACCCGAGUAGUC